This is a long non-coding RNA of Alligator sinensis (Chinese alligator), 1459 nucleotides long. RefSeq lists it as uncharacterized. The transcript is spliced from 4 exons. The record is from RefSeq and is a predicted model, not a curated record. Lineage: Eukaryota; Metazoa; Chordata; Crocodylia; Alligatoridae.
ACGGCAGCUGAUCUGUGAGGAAGAGCAGAAAGCUCUCCACCUGGUGGACCUCCAAGAAGCAGUGGCCACUGCUCAUGUGACUGAGGUGCUGGCUGAUAUCAAUGUCCACAUGGCAAAGCUGAUGACCGAGAUGGUAGAGAUUCAGAGGCAGCUGAACAUCUUCAGUGAGCUAGCCUUGCUCAAGCCUGAGAGCAGAGAUGAAGACCACAGAGCCGGCCCUUUCCCUCCUGCUUCUCCUUCCCGAGGGAACAGGCGAUAUGACGAUGAUGACCUGUCAUCUUCUUCCAAUGGGCCCUGCUGAGAACUUGAUAUGGUCUUGGCUGCAGCAGACUCCACAGAGAAGGAUCCUCUCCACUCAAACUCCAUCUGGUGACAAGAAGACAGGAGAAGCAUCUUGAGUGAAGCAUGUGCAGCAGAAGCAGCCUCUGACAUUUCCUCCCUUAACUCUGCGGUAUCUUUGGUUCUCCUAGAUAAUAAUGUGACUCUUCUCAAACCCCUCCUUUGGGAAUGCACUGCUUGUCUUACCUAAUGACUUAUUCACUCAUCAGCCUUUUUUAGGUUGACAAAUAUCUUGCAAAGAGAAGGCACUGGCCUUUGAAAAUGUAGAGCCAGUAAUUAAAAUGAAGAAUGUAUUACAAUAAAACGUAGAAAUAUGAGCCUAAAAGCCACAUUGGUAUUUUUAGUGAUGGGAGUUAUUGAAGACUUCAGUUUAAUAAUUCAGUGCAGCUGAGAUUAAUAAAUGAUAUGAGGUGGAAAUGGUCUUUCAAGAAGAAGGAUAUGAGAGGUAUAGUUAACAAUUUAAUUUAGUGUAUUCUGAAAAAUGCAACAUGAAUUGCUAUAUAGUAACUUGGCACAGGCCAAAGGUUUCUCAGCCCAUUUUGUAAGAGAGGGAUGGGGAACGUGCAUCAUGAUUGAGGAUCAUGCCUAGUUAGUAAUGCCAUAUUAACAGAGUCUGGGGAGCCAGGAAUCCCAUCUCUAAAACUGACUCCCCCUACAACCUCUAGCAAAUCAUUGCUUAGUUUCUCCUUCUGCUAUAAUGUCAGGUAAGUACUCUGUUCCAGCCUCUCAAGGGAAGACAGUACAAUGGUGGAGGGAGGACAAAUGAGACCAAAAUAAGGUGGUUAAUCUCGGCAUCACUCUCUUGCCUACUCCAAAAACAGGUCUGCUUCAGGUUCCCAAAGAGCAAGCCAGUCCUGAUAUAGAUAUAUAUAUCUAUAUAUAUAUAGAUAUAUAUAUAUAUAGGAUGGUGGAGAGAAGAGUGGGAAUGAAUCAUCGUAUUGGUUCUCAUCAUCCAGAGCAGAGAGCUGCCAUGACUAGCUCUCCCAAAGAGGUCAACUCCAGGUUUUCUAUUUGGAACAAAUCACAGACCCUGAGCACUUGCUAUCAUAGUGCCCUGUCAGCCCUUCUCUACCCUUUGCUGCGCCUCUCAGCGGUGCUAGAAAAUUCUGGUUAAAAUUCA